This is a long non-coding RNA of Herpailurus yagouaroundi (jaguarundi), 318 nucleotides long. RefSeq lists it as uncharacterized. The transcript is spliced from 2 exons. Lineage: Eukaryota; Metazoa; Chordata; Mammalia; Carnivora; Felidae. The record is from RefSeq and is a predicted model, not a curated record.
UGCCAAGGUGGUGCCCAUUAUUGCUCACAGGCGUGGAGCACUUCGAGCAAAGAGCACCUUCGGUGGAAAUCUGAGCUUCUUCACAGCCCAGGAGGUCCUCAGGCACCUACUGCCACCUGGGAUGAUCAAACGAGCACGGACUCCCAUGCUAGCUGGUUUAUUAUCUGUACCCUCCAGCAUGUAAAGUCCACGCAGGCAGGCCACAUAUGUCACCCUCACCCGGUAAUAUACCCGCAGGCCUGGAACAGUGCCUGGCACAGAGCGGGCCCUUGGUGAACAGGGGCUCGGUGAAUGAAUACGCAGGGUCGUGUGUGUGAA